GUGAACGCUGGCGGUAGGCCUAACACAUGCAAGUCGAACGGCAGCACAGUAAGAGCUUGCUCUUGCGGGUGGCGAGUGGCGGACGGGUGAGGAAUACAUCGGAAUCUACUUUUUCGUGGGGGAUAACGUAGGGAAACUUACGCUAAUACCGCAUACGACCUACGGGUGAAAGCAGGGGAUCUUCGGACCUUGCGCGAUUGAAUGAGCCGAUGUCGGAUUAGCUAGUUGGCGGGGUAAAGGCCCACCAAGGCGACGAUCCGUAGCUGGUCUGAGAGGAUGAUCAGCCACACUGGAACUGAGACACGGUCCAGACUCCUACGGGAGGCAGCAGUGGGGAAUAUUGGACAAUGGGCGCAAGCCUGAUCCAGCCAUACCGCGUGGGUGAAGAAGGCCUUCGGGUUGUAAAGCCCUUUUGUUGGGAAAGAAAAGCAGCAGGUUAAUACCCCGCUGUUCUGACGGUACCCAAAGAAUAAGCACCGGCUAACUUCGU
RNAcentral lists this ribosomal RNA (490 nucleotides) under uncultured bacterium. RNAcentral's name for it is "partial 16S ribosomal RNA". It matches the Rfam family "Bacterial small subunit ribosomal RNA", at positions 29 to 506 of the family's 1533-position model. The record is from RNAcentral.